UAAAUACUCCCUCCGUCCCAAAUUACUUGUCGCAGAAAUGGAUGGCGACAAGUAAUUCGGGACGGAGGGAGUAUAUG
Non-coding RNA from Triticum aestivum (bread wheat), 77 nucleotides. The record is from Rfam. Lineage: Eukaryota; Viridiplantae; Streptophyta; Magnoliopsida; Poales; Poaceae.